AGCCAUGUGGUAAGCACAAAGCGAACUAUUCUUUCGCCUUUUACUAAAGAAUACCGUGUGCUUGCCUCUAAAUAGUGGCAUACGAUAAUUUUUGAAGGUUAGCUCUUUAUAGAGCCA
RNAcentral lists this small nuclear RNA (117 nucleotides) under Jatropha curcas. RNAcentral's name for it is "U5 spliceosomal RNA". It matches the Rfam family "U5 spliceosomal RNA". From Rfam's summary of the family: U5 RNA is a component of both types of known spliceosome. The precise function of this molecule is unknown, though it is known that the 5' loop is required for splice site selection and p220 binding, and that both the 3' stem-loop and the Sm site are important for Sm protein binding and cap methylation. Lineage: Eukaryota; Viridiplantae; Streptophyta; Magnoliopsida; Malpighiales; Euphorbiaceae. The record is from Rfam by way of RNAcentral.